Molecule: long non-coding RNA, 447 nt
Organism: Heterocephalus glaber (naked mole-rat)
Lineage: Eukaryota; Metazoa; Chordata; Mammalia; Rodentia; Bathyergidae
Source: Ensembl
CUCACACCAGGGACUGGCAGAGCGCGCAGGCGCGGUGCACACAAGGCCGUGGAGCAGACGUUAGGCCUCAUAAAGCUUAUAAGCAAAGAAAAUCUUCCCUUUCCAGGAAGCAAAGUCUGGUAGACAUAGGGAUUGUCAAGAUCUCAAGAUGCCCCCCUUCCCACCCCCAUGGUCAGUUCUGUGCACACAUCUCUCACAGCAGAGAACAGGGAAGGGCCAGCAGGGGUAGGGGCUGCUUUUGUUCACCAAGCCCCAUUUCAUCCAGAAUGCCAAUGCAUAUGGAGCUCCAGAGUUCUGGAACUAGGCGAACAUACAAGUGGAGGCUUCAGCUAGCCUCAGAUGGAAGAUGGAGGCAGGAAGGACAUCAGAGCCCAGGAGGGCAACUGGAGCCACAGGCUGCCUCUCUCCCAGCAGCUCUACGAAGUUCUGGCUGAAAAGUUAUCCCAG